This 536-nucleotide long non-coding RNA is filed under the name Homo sapiens (human). Its description in RNAcentral is "HSALNT0365852". The record is from RNAcentral. Lineage: Eukaryota; Metazoa; Chordata; Mammalia; Primates; Hominidae.
GUAGUUCUGAAUGCUGAUGUCUGUUUCCAGGUCUCAUAUGGGCUCACGUGCUCUGCUUGAGCUCCUCUUUCCUGUGUCACCAUCUAAAAAGUAUCCUUGGUCAGAAAGCUUAAUACCUCCUCUGAAGACUGAUAAUAUACAUCAUCUUCCUGGACCAGUCUACAAGUGAGGGACAGUGAAUAUUUUGAAUGGCAGCUUUUAGGCAUUGCUCGUCAGUGGGGGAUGAGGCUGCUGGAGGAGCCACAGCCUCAAAGUUGGCUACUCAACAUGCCAGACAUAGAGAGAGGAGAGUAGAGGCAUGCCUUGACUCCUGGAGCUACCACUUGGAAGUGGAAUCCCUGUCUUCUGUUCUCACUUCAGUGGCCAAGGAAGAGGGCAUGAGGAUGCACAGUCCUAUCACACGCCCUGAUGGCAGAGAGGCAGAGUGCUCGCCUCUGCUGAUGACCACCAGACAUUGUAAAUGGGGACCUCUAUUUUAUGGUAUCUUACACUGUGAGAUGAUGUUAUGUCACCACAUCUGUGAGCACAGGGUGCAC